This 492-nucleotide ribosomal RNA is filed under the name uncultured bacterium. RNAcentral's name for it is "partial 16S ribosomal RNA". It matches the Rfam family "Bacterial small subunit ribosomal RNA", at positions 28 to 507 of the family's 1533-position model. The record is from RNAcentral.
GAUGAACGCUAGCUACAGGCUUAACACAUGCAAGUCGAGGGGAAACGACAUCGAAAGCUUGCUUUUGAUGGGCGUCGACCGGCGCACGGGUGAGUAACGCGUAUCCAACCUGCCCAUCACUUGGGAAUAACCUUGCGAAAGUAAGACUAAUACCCAAUGACAUCCCACGACGACAUCUGAAUGGGAUUAAAGAUUUAUCGGUGAUGGAUGGGGAUGCGUCUGAUUAGCUUGUUGGCGGGGUAACGGCCCUCCAAGGCAACGAUCAGUAGGGGUUCUGAGAGGAAGGUCCCCCACAUUGGAACUGAGACACGGUCCAAAGUCCUACGGCAGGCAGCAGUGAGGAAUAUUGGUCAAUGGACGAGAGCCUGAACCAGCCAAGUAGCGUGCAGGAUGACGGCCCUAUGGGUUGUAAACUGCUUUUAUAAGGGAAUAAAGGGGGUCUAGUGAGACUUUUUGCAUGUACCGUAUGAAUAAGGACCGGCUAAUUCCGUG